Ostertagia ostertagi is the source of this 69-nucleotide non-coding RNA. NCBI's taxonomy places the organism in Eukaryota, Metazoa, Nematoda, Chromadorea, Rhabditida, Trichostrongylidae. The record is from the annotation of a GenBank genome assembly.
CGCUCCACGGGAUUCGAACCUGCAUCUCUAGCUUACCAUGUAAGUGUGCUACCAAUUACACUACGAAGC